Taeniopygia guttata (zebra finch) is the source of this 3915-nucleotide long non-coding RNA. RefSeq lists it as uncharacterized. The record is from RefSeq and is a predicted model, not a curated record. NCBI's taxonomy places the organism in Eukaryota, Metazoa, Chordata, Aves, Passeriformes, Estrildidae.
GGACCUCCGCGGGGCCACCUGCCCCCGCGCCCCGGGCGGGGCCGCGCCGCCCCGCGCGGGGCAGAGCCGGGGCGGGCCGACCCCCGCCGCCGCCGCCGAAGUUUCCCCGGCAGCCGCCGGGAAAGUUGCGUCCGGCAGCGAUCGCAACUUUGCGCGCCGGCUCCGCCGCCGCCGCCCGCAGCAUCCCCGCAGCAUCCCCGCGGCGCGGCCCGGCCCCGUUCAAACUUGGCGGCCGCCGCUCCGAGCGGGCCGGCGGAUCAAUGCGGCCGCGGCCAGCCGCGCUGGGAGCCGGGCUACAGGUUUCACCAGCCAUCGCUGGCAACAGCUUUGUCAUUUUCUAAAAAUAAGAAGCUAAAAGUUAUUGUAGAAGAAGGGGCUUUUUUUGUCCCCCGCACAAUGUGCCUUUUGUGAGUUUAAUGCCAUUCUGGGGCUCUCUAUGGCCCCGGACAAUGGGGAACUCCAGGAGGCGGCUGUGCCUCUGCCUUUUUUCUUUCUUGCUUUCUCUUUUCUUCCCCCCACCCCCCUCCUCUUUUUUCCCCCUUUUUUCUUUUUCUUUCUUUUUUUUUUUUUUUUUUUUUUUUUUUUUUUUUUUUUGGGAGAGGAUGCAACAUUCCUCCAGUCCCACCAGAACCUCUGCUUUGAUUAAAUAAAUAUUUCUCUAGCCUAACGGUAACGUUUUUCACUUUCUGCUUGAGUCCAUGUCCGAUUAUUAUUUAAAAUUUUUAUUUCCAGGAGCUUGUCCCUCCCUAUUCCAGCUCUAUCAAGAAAUGUAGAUGAUGGCUGGGAACAUGGGAUUUGAAUUUUAGGAGGAGGUGAACCAGUAAAGAACCUCUAUCCAGGCUUAAGAAAUUAUGUUUUUUUUUCAUGUUUCUAUAAAACCCUAUUUUUAUUAUUAGCAGAAAUGCAGCUAAAUUAAAUAAUGUCUUGGAAAGCUAAAGAAGCUCUCAUUUUUGCUUUUCUUUUUUGCCUUUUUUUUUCCACCCUUUUUUAAUUUUUUUUUUUUUCAUAAUAACUGUAAUUAUUUUCACGGUUUGUUUCAUAGCUCUGAACAAGGAAUGCAGUUGCGGUCAGUUUUUCCAUUUGGGAGAACCUUAAUAUAGAUGUAUUUUAUACUGCAAGGUAAUAAACUGCAUGUUUGUUAGUACCUAUUAUAAUGAAAUGUCUUGAGCUUUCCCUAUUUCUUAACGUGGGGGUUGACAUUUGGAAUUUUGACAAGUCCCUUUAAGUGGGAUGGGGGUGAAGGAAGAGGAUCAGGAAUUUGACUGUGCUGUUGAUGCAUUGCUGGGAGUGUUUGGCGUUUGGGAGAAAGUCGCAGGUUUUAAGACUCAGGGUUCGAUAGGUGCCACGGUUCUGUGGAUGUUGUACCUGCAGCCCUGUGACCCAGGCGUGCUGUGUGUGAGUCCUGGUGCUUGGAUUGACUCCAGAGGGGGACUAGUUUGCAUUUAAAAGCUGCCCUUAAAAAAAUCUGUCACUUCCUGCUUGAUACAUGUCUCGUUUUAUGGAAGAAUAAUUGUUAAUGCACUAAUCUUUAAAAACAAACAAACAAACACCUCCCCAAAAAAACCCACCAAAACAAAACCAACCUCCCCCCCGAACUCUAAAAAAAAAAAAACCAACUCCAAGAGAAAAAACAAAACCAAAAUAAAAAACCAAACCAAAAACCAACCAAGCCCCAAACCAUGGAGCCCUGCGGGAAUCAGAAUUUUUCAGGGCUGCUUGGUACGCUGCCUGGGAAGGUGCAUGUAAUUUGUAGCUGUUCUUGCUGAACGUGAACCAAACGUGGGUUGAGGAAGAGGUUGCGGCGAAAAUAAAGUAACCCUUGUCUUUAGCACUUGGGAUAACUUAGAAAAGUGCCUCUUUUCCCUGAGGCGGCGGAUCUGGUGGCCCAGGCUGCGGGUGCUGCCUGUGGGCACGCUUUUUGCAGAGCAAAGCACAAGGAAACGCGUGGGGAAGUUGGGGGGCAAAGGAGUGCCUGCGGAUGCUCCAGAAAGAGGCACCUCCACAGGGACGUGUGCGAGCGCGGGCUGGAGCCAUGGAGGUUGUCUGCGCUUGCAUCGUGAAUUCGAGCUGUGUGCCGCUGUCCUCUAAUUUCCCAUGACAACAUAUGGAUCCCAUAAAGGCAAACAUGCCGAAGUGCAUCUGUCUGGGUAGUUAACACAAACCAAACAUCCCCCGCUCGGGAUCCCGCUGCUCCCCGGCCGCGCCGCGCCGAGCCCUCCUGCCCCAGCCCCUCGCCGCUCCGUCCUUCUUCCCGCGGCGCGGCCGGGACGAGCCCGAGUGCCCCGGCGGGAGGAGGCGGCAGCGCCGGCCGGAGCAGCGGAGGGGUUAAGCGGGGAGAGGGGCGUGCGCCCCGCGGCCCCCCACCCUCCUGGGAGCGGGUCCAGCCCGAGCAGGCUCUGCCCUGGGGUCAAGUCCUAGGACAUCCUUCCCUCCCCUCCUGGCAAGGCAGGAACUCGGGCUGGGAAGGGAAACAGCAGAUGAGCAGGGGGCAGAGGUUUGCCCCUCGUCCUGCACACAGACGUCUGGAGGCUGGGGAAAGAGAGAGUUCCCAGUUUUCCAGGUUGCAAAAAGAGGUGGCGAGGGGAGGCUGUGCGUGCAGAGAAGGGAAGGAACAAGUGACGGCUGCAGGACCGGCGGAUAAACCACUACGCAAACACCGAAACACAGCCAAGGAAUUAAGGGAUAAUUCGAACAGAAAUCGUUAGCUGUAUGCUUGUUGGAAAUUUGUCUGAAGAAUCAGAACAAAGCAUGGAAGGCCAGAGUCCUUGAAGGAGCUCCAAAUGAUAAAGUCUGCCAUUCAUUUUAAACACUGCGUGCAUUGUGGAAACACAGGUCAAUUUGAAGGCAUUUGUCAGAUUUCCAGUUCCCUCUGCUCCUUUGCAAUGGAAAUUUGCAAUCAAAUCCCUGUGCUGGAGUUAGGAUGUCUGCCUUGAUCAGUUUGUAUGACUCUAUGCCCAAAGCACUGGCCAGGUAAGGCGGCUUUUCCUUUGGAAAGUUUGUUUGUGAGGAGUUGAGAAGGAGAAGGGGGGAAGGCUGAGGGGAGUUGAGCUGGAGCAGAUGUGUUUGUUCUGGGUUUGGAAGGGGAAAGGGCAGGCGAUCGGCAGCGAUGGAUUGCACAGGGCUUGCUGAGCCGCAGAAGCGAGUUGAUACCAUUUAGAGACGCCCAGCAAGAAGCAUGGAAAGGGAUAUUCCAGCAGCAGCACAGUCAUUGUUGGGAUGCAAAAAUGCAGCACGGCUGGAGAGCCACACUGCUGAGCAAUUUCAGCCAGAUAGCAGGGAUUUCUUCUGGAGUCAUGUUUGCCUCAGUUACUGGGGGGGCUGCUGCCCUUAUUCCUGAGACAUGGGGUGCUGGAGGGGAGAGACUAUUGCUCUAGAAGAAAUGCUGUAGGGUUUGGGGAGGUUUGGGCUAAGGGACAUUUCAAAGGAACAUUUAUUCUUUUGUCUCCAAUCUAUUUCUGGGGUUAUACCUGAUUAUUAAAAGACAUCGUGCUCGAGGCAGUGGGAGUGACAGGACCUCUGUGGGCUAUUACAGCUGUCCCCAAACCUGGCAAGGCUGCUGCAGUCAGGCUGAGUAAACACCCCUCAGUCAGACAGCAAGUUUGUAACAUGCAUUUGCUUGUUUUGCAGGCCAUAACACGAGUGGAUGUGUUUGCCAUGGGAAUAAACACUUGGAAUACAUCUAUAUGUUUCUUGGCUUUUUGAGAGAAAUGAAGAAAAAAAGUCUUGGCAUUUAAUUAGGAGUCACUAACCUGAUAAAUAUUGAACAUCAUUUCUUUGUGAGCGGCUCCAUGUGCUCAGAGUACUCUGUGGAUGUAUUCCACAAUUGCACUUAUUUAAUGCCUGUAUCACCUCGUGCCUAUUGUAUUUAUGUUGUCAUCAAUGUCAGAUUUUAAUUAAACAAUUAAAUCACUGUCA